This 73-nucleotide transfer RNA is filed under the name Trichonephila inaurata madagascariensis. It matches the Rfam family "tRNA". From Rfam's summary of the family: Transfer RNA (tRNA) molecules are approximately 80 nucleotides in length. The record is from Rfam by way of RNAcentral. Lineage: Eukaryota; Metazoa; Arthropoda; Arachnida; Araneae; Nephilidae.
GUCCCUGUAGCGCAAUGGAUAGCACGUUGGAUUUCUAAUCGAAAGGUCGUGGGUUCGAAUCCUACCUGGGAUG